Molecule: long non-coding RNA, 152 nt
Organism: Sebastes umbrosus (honeycomb rockfish)
Lineage: Eukaryota; Metazoa; Chordata; Actinopteri; Perciformes; Sebastidae
Exons: 3
Source: RefSeq, a predicted model, not a curated record
UACCAAUUAUAAAAUUCAUCUUUAGGCUACAAAAUAAAUUGCCUUAAAUAUCAACUUAAGUCUGCAUAAGGAGGAGGUCGGGGUGGACGGGUGAUCAAGUAAACACAGGAUUUUCACCCAGGAGAAGGCUGUUCCUAAAACUGUUGUUGCUG